Long non-coding RNA from Pogoniulus pusillus (Red-fronted tinkerbird), 1800 nucleotides. RefSeq lists it as uncharacterized. The record is from RefSeq and is a predicted model, not a curated record. The transcript is spliced from 3 exons. NCBI's taxonomy places the organism in Eukaryota, Metazoa, Chordata, Aves, Piciformes, Lybiidae.
GCCCAUGGUGUGCACCGGGUGAAUUGGUGGAGGAUUUCAAAGGCCGGGGGGCCUCGUUGGCCCCCCGGCUGUUAGGGUUAGGCUCAGCAACCAUUGCAACAUCCGACUUUGUUAUGCACUGGUGCUGGGUGUGUGUCUUUGCUGGAGCUGAUUUCUUUUGUAGGGUGUUUUAGCUGUUUGAGCCUCUCCCCUCAGGCACUGAGAUGACUGCAAGAAGGGUGGUGGAGAAGAACUCUUCAGGCAGAGUGAGAGUGACUGAGGAGAGUUACAGGAGCUGAGGUUCUGGCAGUAUUUUCCAAUUGUACAUUUCAUUAUAAAUGGCACAUUAUUCCAGUGCUGAAGUUUUAUCCUUUCUGAGGAAUCCCUUUGUACCUGAAGCAGACGGAACAUUCUUCCUGAUGCGGAAAUAAACAGGAGCCGCGAAGCGCUUACCGCAAUCAUUGUAAACAGUUACCUCAGGUUUAUUUUCUUCCCAAGUUGAUGGUUGCUAGAAGGAACGACUCAUUCCGUGUGCAAGAACAGACAGUGUGUCGCCAUUCUACUGAGUACGACUGCACUUGGCUUUCUUGAACUUCAUGAGAUUGGCAUUGGCCCACCUCUCAGGCCUAUCAACGUCCAUCUGGACAGCACUCCUUCCCUCCAGGAUACUGACCACACCACGCAUCUUGGUGUUGUCAGCAAACUGGCUAAGAGUGUACUUAAUCCCACUGUCCAUGUCACCAACAAAGAUGUAAAACAGCACUGGUCCCAGUAGUGACCUCUGAGGAACACAACUCAUUAUUGGUUUCCACUUAGAUAUUGAUCCAUUGACCAUCAGCCUUUGAGUUCAACUGUCAAGCCAAUUCCUUACCCACUGAGUGUUCCACUCAUCAGCUGUCUUUCAUCAGAUGUCUUUUCAAUUUAGAGACCAAAGCAUCAGGGGAACAGUGUCAGUGUUUUGCACAAGUCCAGGUAAAUGACAUCAAUUGCUCUUCCCUUAUCCACUAAUGCUGUUGCCCCAUCAUAGAAUUCCAUCAAAUAAGUCAGGUGCGAUUUGCCUUGGGUGAAGCCAUGUUGGCCACCACCAAUCACCUCCCUGUUUUUCAUAUGCCUUAGCAUAAUUUCCAGAAGCAUAUGCUCCAUGAUAUUACUGAGCAUAGAUGUUAGAUUGACUGGUUUGUAGUUCCCAGGGUCUUUCUUUUUUCCCAUUUGGAAAUGACAGUUAUCUUUCCCUUUUCCAGUCAGUGGGAACUUCACCAGUUUGCCAUGGCUUUUCACAUAUGAUGGAACGUGUCUUAGCAACAUCAUCUGCCAGUUCCCUUAGGACCUGCAGAUGGAUCUUGUCAGAUCCCAUGGAGUUGCAAACCUCUUUUCUAAUUAAGAGAAGUCUGGCCUUCCCCAUCCCCCUUCAAAUGAUUCACCAUUUUCUGAGCUGUUCGUCACAUAUUUGAGGGUCCUGGUCUGCACAGCUGGCCAAAGCCAGCACGAGAAGCCUCUCUGCAUGGACCUGACAGCUGUUUUGCCACCUAAUGACACUCUUUGACACUCUGUUAAGGCCAAAGAAAGACAUUUUCAGCCUACUGCGUUAGUUAUUGUGACUGAUGUUGUGUAGGACACAAAGUUCUAACCAGAUAUCUAAUCGUAAAACUUGGAUUUUUGGAUGAAGAAUGAAGGGUGUUACUCCUACAGUGUAGAAAAAUCAACUAAAAUUCACAUAACUAAGGAAGGCACUAUUUUCCUGUAUUCCUGCUUAUACAACGCUUGUAUUGCUAUUCAUAUGAAGUCAUGUAAUGGAAAUAAACUAAAUGGUCUUGGUCUUUA